UUAAUUAGCUCUACUUUGAGAUAAACCAAAUGCCAAGGAAGCCCUCAUAGAUUUUAAUGCUCUCACUGUACAAUAUGUCCCUUUCUGGGGGAAGGCAAACAGAAUGUGGCAGUAAUGAUCAAGUACUGCAUUUAGGGCUAAAAACUGCUCCUGCCAUUCAUGCUGAGUAGGUGUUCCCUUUGAGAAUAGCACAUCACACUUGAAUGGGAACACUUGGAAAAUACUGUACAGUUCAGCCUGCGUAAGGCUGGCAAGACAGACAGAAUCCAGCCUUUAUACUAAAUCAUACCAAGGACUGACAAGAUUACCUUGAUUGGCGUGUACCACUUCUGCUGCAUGGCUGGUGAGGUAGGCUUUGGUUUAGGUGGUUUAGGGUGAAAAGGUUCUUCUGGUUCUUCUGGGAGUUUCACCACAGCAUUCUUUGCUUUUUCCAACCUGGCCCCUUCUUCCGUGGAGCCUUUGUCACCCCAGCGCACCUGAGGAAAGGCAGAGUUCAGGUGUGAGUGCACUGCAUGCACAGGGCAGGGAAAUGCUGCAAGUAACAGAGGGAUAAAUUUGGAAGAAGUUCUGGGUAAACAGGAGGGGAGGUACUGAGGAAAACAUUACCUCUUCAUUAUUCUUAGUUAAAUAUAUUUGUAAAUGAGUCUCUCAGUGGUGAAAAGUCAAGAAAAAUACUGAAAGAAAAUUCCACCAUGCCUCACACUGGCUGUACAGGAGAAAGGGAAUCUGGGAAGCCUUCUCUAAGUAAGGAUGUAAAAAUCUCAUUUCCGGUUCUGAUUUAUCCUAAAAUACCAGAUCUUAAUCUGGCACCGAUCAGAGCUGACAUUUCUGUCAGCCAGGUUUCCUAACCCAGAGUGUUUGUUGAGAACCCCAGUGUAGAUCAAAGGUGAUGCCUGGGCACAUUUGAGCAGAAGCUCCUUGAACCUGCUCAGAUUUCCACAUUAUUCUGCAGGAACACACAUACUGGAGAACUGCAGGUGAGUAGUCUAACCUGCCUAAGUGCAUGUAGAACAUGUAGCAAUGCGUAUUUUAAUCACUGCUGCAAGUAUAUAAAAUACAUACAAAGAGUUCAGAGAGAAGGAAACCUGUGUUAUCUCAGCUGGGCAUACAAGCAGGUAUUCCCACUUCCAUAAGGCUGUACUCACUGCGCUCUGCAGCGGAAAUACAGGGAAAACCUUCCCUCUACGAGAUGAUCUGUCUUGCUGAAGGAAUCCUAUUUCACCUUGUGACUGGAAGCACCAUACAGCAAUCUGAGCAGGGAAGCUGCCAGAGCAAUCAAGUUGCUGGAGGAACAGCAGAAGAACAGAGGACAGAGAAGCAGUGAAAACCAGACAACUGUGUUGCCACACAGACUGCAAACAGGGAAGAAAUGUCAUGACUAGUGCAGCAGUUUUGUUGCUGGCCACAGCACAGAAACCACCUCUAACUGCCAGGAAACCAGGCACUGCCAGGGAAGCAGACCCAGAAGGAAGGAAGAAUAGGUCAUGCCUGGGCCUAAAUGCUGCCCAUCUCCUUGAGGACACUGCCCUGAAGCCCAGGACUACAGAGCCACAAGGGGCCCUUCCAGGUGAUGUCCGAGCCUCAGGAGCAGGAGAGAUGGGCAGGAACAGAGGCACAGCACAAGAACCCAGGGAGCAGCCAGCAAGACCAAAGAAAGGCAAGGCUCAUGAUAUAAAGUGGGAGCAAAGUGACUGACAGAAACCUCCCUGUAUUUCUGAUGCUGGGCCUGUGCCGUGGAGAACAAGACACGAGAGAGGCUUUUUAUUACAGAAGAGGUCAUUGUUCUCGUCUCAGGAACCCCAGACCGUGAGGGUGCAGAUGGAGGCUGAGGACUUCCUGCCCUCAGACAGCUUGGGGCCCCCCGGACCCCCCGGAUUAUGGGAGCUGCACAUGGUCAGGUUACUGAUCUACAGGCAGUAGCAAUCCUGUUGGAGAAAUGCAGGCUGAUGAGCAGAAGGGACUGUUCUCCAUGCUCCACGCCUGAUGGGAAAGCUGCUCUCAAGUCACACUUCAGAUGAGACACAUUUAAAGGCACACAGUGCCCAUGCACAGCACGUGUUAAACACUGGGGGCUUGUGUCUCCCUGCACAAAUCCCAACUGUCCUGCCCACGUCAUGGAGAGCAGACAUGCAAGACUAGAAAAUUGUAUUAAUCUAUUGAUUGUAUAAAGGUACUAAGUUCAAACAGUCACUCUCUGCACAAGUGUGUGGUUUCUCCCAGAAGCAGUUUUAACUCUUUUCCAUAACCUGUGAUCAGACUCAGCAGGAUGUUCACCCUGCCUUACCCCCAGGUGUAACUGGGGUGCUCCAGCCUGUGCUUGGACUGCCUGUCUCCCCAAAUUAACAGAGUUAAGAGCCUACACUCAUUACUCAGGCUCCAGAGUUACGGAGCAUCAGUACCCUCCUGCAGGACUGUAACCGCCCUCCACACCCAGGCUGAAGUCCCAAGGUUCUGCCUACUCUGCUCCCCCUCCCUCACUCAGGGAAGCCAUGCUGAAAUGGGACCCCCGGUGACUGUGUCACACCUGCCCCUUGGGACAUGGUUAUAUUUACAGUGAGCAGGUCUCUGAGGGCAGGGAAGCCUCCCAGUAUUUUGAAAGCCACAGCUUUCCACAGGGAAGUGGAAUCAGAGAUUCCCCGCACUGAGAGGUCCCACAAUGGCCAAGCCCUAAGAGAAAUGGGAUUUGGGAAUUUUACACAGGAUUGUGGUGGUCUUUUACUUACACACUCCGAAGCGGUGAUGGUUAACGAGCUGGACAUGAAAGACUGGCCUUCCUUCAAACUCACCAAAACCUCCAGGGUUCUGCAAAGAGAGAGAGAAAAAACAUGAGUGACCGUGGAGCAGUCAAGAAAGGCUCACACCUGCUCCAGAGGCUCCUGUAUUUGAAGCCUCUGCUCCACAGAGUGUCCCCAGAGGGGAAAUGGAGGCCUGUGCUUAUUCUUGUUUGGGAGUAAGUUUGGUCUCCUUGAUAGAGCUAUAUGAGUAGAGACUAUCCCUCCUCUUUUCCGUGCAGCAUAAAAUACUCCCAAAAGUUUUACAUAAAAUAAAUUGAAGUUCAGCUGUAAAAUCGGCAUUGUUUUGUCUGUUCCAUAACCAUCUCUUUAGUCACAUGCAGGCAUUAUGGAUAAAAAUGUCGGAUAAUUAUAGAUGGUCAGGACUUGCUAUAAAUAGCCCCAAACACUGCAUACAAAUGGUAUGUGGUUUACAUUUUACAAAUUAACCCUACAAGAAAACAACACAUGGUGGAUGUUAAACAGAAGAAGACUCUUCUCUGGCUUGGAUUCCCAGGAUUCAGACAGUUUAUAUUAUGCAUAGAUGUAAUUAAAUAAAAAUAUAGAUAUCCAUGAACUAAAAUGAUUAAUCAUUUAUACCAUUCUUACAUGUCAUGAGUUUUUAUUCUGGCACAAACCCUUUAGUCAAUAUGGAGUUCAAAGCUAUUUUAACUAAUUUGGCUAAUUUCUUCUUCAUUGGUAGCAAAAAUGAAGUGAGUUGCUUCCACUAAACUAAUUUUUAAAUUAUCUGUGUCAUGAAUAAUUGAUCCAACAGAAAGAAUAACUCUAAUUUCUUUCUAAUUAUU
Manacus vitellinus (golden-collared manakin) is the source of this 3577-nucleotide long non-coding RNA. RefSeq lists it as uncharacterized. NCBI's taxonomy places the organism in Eukaryota, Metazoa, Chordata, Aves, Passeriformes, Pipridae. The transcript is spliced from 5 exons. The record is from RefSeq and is a predicted model, not a curated record.